UACGUAGGGGGCAAGCGUUGUCCGGAAUCAUUGGGCGUAAAGCGCGUGUAGGCGGUUCGGUAAGUCUGCUGUGAAAGUCCAGGGCUCAACCCUGGGAUGCCGGUGGAUACUGUCGGACUAGAGUACGGAAGAGGCGAGUGGAAUUCCCGGUGUAGCGGUGAAAUGCGCAGAUAUCAGGAGGAACACCGGUGGCGAAGGCGACUACCUGGCCUGUUCUUGACGCUGAGGCGCGAAAGCUAGGGGAGCAAACGGG
This 253-nucleotide ribosomal RNA is filed under the name uncultured bacterium. Its description in RNAcentral is "partial 16S ribosomal RNA". It matches the Rfam family "Bacterial small subunit ribosomal RNA", at positions 524 to 776 of the family's 1533-position model. The record is from RNAcentral.